This 497-nucleotide ribosomal RNA is filed under the name uncultured bacterium. RNAcentral's name for it is "partial 16S ribosomal RNA". It matches the Rfam family "Bacterial small subunit ribosomal RNA", at positions 28 to 507 of the family's 1533-position model. The record is from RNAcentral.
GAUGAACGCUGGCGGCGUGCCUAAUACAUGCAAGUCGAGCGAACAGACGAGGAGCUUGCUCCUCUGACGUUAGCGGCGGACGGGUGAGUAACACGUGGAUAACCUACCUAUAAGACUGGGAUAACUUCGGGAAACCGGAGCUAAUACCGGAUAAUAUAUUGAACCGCAUGGUUCAAUAGUUAAAGACGGUUUUGCUGUCACUUAUAGAUGGAUCCGCGCCGCAUUAGCUAGUUGGUAAGGUAACGGCUUACCAAGGCAACGAUGCGUAGCCGACCUGAGAGGGUGAUCGGCCACACGGGAACUGAGACACGGUCCAGACUCCUACGGGAGGCAGCAGUAGGGAAUCUUCCGCAAUGGGCGAAAGCCUGACGGAGCAACGCCGCGUGAGUGAUGAAGGUCUUCGGAUCGUAAAACUCUGUUAUUAGGGAAGAACAAAUGUGUAAGUACCUAUGCACGUCUUGACGGUACCUAAUCAGAAAGCCACGGCUAACUACGUG